AGGUCCUUUACAAUCAGCGACUGGAUCAUCCCAACGUUAUAGAAGAUCCAAAAACAUCUCAAAAACAGAAGAAUUGUCAAACAAUUUUACCUUGAUGUUAAACAAAACAGAUAUUCAACAUGAUGACUCUUUGCAAAACGUUGUCGAUUUGUUGCAAGACACUCUUGCCAGGUACAAAGAGAUAUCGUUCACAGAAGUUCAGCAUAAAAUAAUAA
Stylophora pistillata is the source of this 215-nucleotide long non-coding RNA. NCBI's taxonomy places the organism in Eukaryota, Metazoa, Cnidaria, Anthozoa, Scleractinia, Pocilloporidae. The record is from RefSeq and is a predicted model, not a curated record.